GACGAACGCUGGCGGCGUGCUUAACACAUGCAAGUCGAACGGAAAGGCCCUGCUUUUGUGGGGUGCUCGAGUGGCGAACGGGUGAGUAACACGUGAGUAACCUGCCCUUGACUUUGGGAUAACUUCAGGAAACUGGGGCUAAUACCGGAUAGGAGCUCCUGCUGCAUGGUGGGGGUUGGAAAGUUUCGGCGGUUGGGGAUGGACUCGCGGCUUAUCAGCUUGUUGGUGGGGUAGUGGCUUACCAAGGCGUUGACGGGUAGCCGGCCUGAGAGGGUGACCGGCCACAUUGGGACUGAGACACGGCCCAGACUCCUACGGGAGGCAGCAGUGGGGAAUAUUGCACAAUGGGCGGAAGCCUGAUGCAGCAACGCCGCGUGCGGGAUGACGGCCUUCGGGUUGUAAACCGCUUUCGCCUGUGACGAAGCGUGAGUGACGGUAAUUGGUGAAGAAGCACCGGCUAACUACGUG
RNAcentral lists this ribosomal RNA (468 nucleotides) under uncultured bacterium. RNAcentral describes it as "partial 16S ribosomal RNA". It matches the Rfam family "Bacterial small subunit ribosomal RNA", at positions 28 to 507 of the family's 1533-position model. The record is from RNAcentral.